UACGGAGGGGGCUAGCGUUGUUCGGAAUUACUGGGCGUAAAGCGCACGUAGGCGGCUUUGUAAGUUAGAGGUGAAAGCCCGGGGCUCAACCGAGGAACGUCGAUCGAUACUGCUGUUCUUGAGGAUUGCAGAGGAGACUGGAAUUCCCGGUGUAGCGGUGAAAUGAUGUAGAGAUCGGGAGGAACACCGGUGGCGAAGGCGGGUCUCUGGGCAAUUCCUGACGCUGAGGCGCGAAAGCGUGGGGAGCAAACGGG
Molecule: ribosomal RNA, 254 nt
Filed under: uncultured bacterium
Lineage: Bacteria
Description: partial 16S ribosomal RNA
Rfam family: Bacterial small subunit ribosomal RNA
Source: RNAcentral